This 441-nucleotide ribosomal RNA is filed under the name uncultured bacterium. RNAcentral describes it as "partial 16S ribosomal RNA". It matches the Rfam family "Bacterial small subunit ribosomal RNA", at positions 338 to 795 of the family's 1533-position model. The record is from RNAcentral.
CCUACGGGUGGCAGCAGUAGGGAAUUUUGCUCAAUGGGCGGAAGCCUGACGCAGCAACGCCGCGUGAUUGAUUAAGCCCUUCGGGGUGGUAAGAUCUUUCAGUGGGGACGAAACUUGACGGUACUCACAGAGGAAGCACCGGCUAACUCCGUGCCAGCAGCCGCGGUAAUACGGAGGGUGCAAGCGUUGUCCGGAAUCAUUGGGCGUAAACGGUUUGUAGGUGGUAUAUUAAGUCUGGUGUUAAAUGCUGAAGCUCAAAUUCUGUUCGGCACGGGAUACUGGUAAGCGUGAGUGGGAUAGAGGUAAAGGGAAUUCCUGGGGGAGCGGUGAAAGGCAUAGAUAUCAGGAAGAACAUCGGUGGCGAAGGCGCUUUGCUGGGCCGUAAUUGACGCUGAGGAACGAAAGCCGGGGUAGCAAAUGGGAUUAGAUACCCGUGUAGUC